RNAcentral lists this transfer RNA (72 nucleotides) under Citrus x latifolia (Tahiti lime). RNAcentral describes it as "tRNA-Lys". Lineage: Eukaryota; Viridiplantae; Streptophyta; Magnoliopsida; Sapindales; Rutaceae. The record is from RNAcentral.
GGGUUGCUAACUCAACGGUAGAGUACUCGGCUUUUAAUUUAACAAGGAAGUUUUCUACUCCAUCCGACUAGU